This 776-nucleotide unclassified non-coding RNA is filed under the name Hevea brasiliensis (rubber tree). The record is from RNAcentral. Lineage: Eukaryota; Viridiplantae; Streptophyta; Magnoliopsida; Malpighiales; Euphorbiaceae.
GUGGUGGCCUAUUUGAAAUACCUAAUUGGCUUGCCUCCAUUGAAAACCUUACGAGUCUAGAAUUAAGUUAUUCUAAUCUCUUGGAGAAUCCAUCUUCAAUUCUUCAGUUUCUUCCUAAAUUAAAACGUCUCUUUUUAAGUAAAGCCCACAAGGCAAAGAUAAUUGGUAAAGAGUUUUGCGAGGCAGGUGGAUAUCCGGAGCUAGAAACGUUGUCCAUUAUAUCAAGGGAUCUAGUGGAGUGGACUGAGAUUGUAAAUGGGGCAUUUCCAAGUUUGAAGAGGCUUAAGUUUGAAUUUUGUUGUAAUUUGAGGUUUCUUCCAGAAGGUUUGCAGCAUGUCUCUACGAUUCAAGAGCUUUAUUUACGGGAAUGUCAUGGGGACCUGACAAGAAAAUUGAGAGGCGUAGAAAAUUACAAGAUCAAGCAUAUUUCAAAAUUUUAUUGGGACAUGCCAAUUUCCUGAGGAAGUCACUGGAGGAAGCAAGAUUAUGAUUUACUGGUUUGAUACAUUGAUUAUCUAAUGCCCCAUCAAUACAUUAAGGUAAAAAAAUCAAUCUUUCAGGAUGAGGAUGAUAGAAACUGCAAGAAUUGGAAUGUUUCUCUAUAAAUCUUUAAGGAUUCAGGAUGAUAUAAAAUUGCUAGUGAUUUAUUUGGUUUGGGUUAUCAGGUAAAGCUUACAGUGGUUUUAGUUAAUAACUGCUUUUAUAUAUAUACAUAUAUGAAAUGGCAGAAUGUUUAACACUAUAUUGGCGAGUUUCAGAUGGAAUAAAAAGGAAAG